AACGUAGGGGGCGAGCGUUAUCCGGAAUCACUGGGCGUAAAGGGCGUCUAGGCGGUCCAGUAAGUCCUGCGUGAAAGCUCCCGGCUCAACUGGGAGAGCGCGUGGGAGACUGUUGGGCUAGAGGCUCGGAGAGGGGUGUGGAAUUCCCGGUGGAGUGGUGAAAUGCGUUGAGAUCGGGAGGAACACCAGUGGCGAAGGCGGCACCCUGGCCGAGUUCUGACGCUGAAGCGCGACAGCGUGGGGAGCAAACGGG
RNAcentral lists this ribosomal RNA (253 nucleotides) under uncultured bacterium. RNAcentral describes it as "partial 16S ribosomal RNA". It matches the Rfam family "Bacterial small subunit ribosomal RNA", at positions 524 to 776 of the family's 1533-position model. The record is from RNAcentral.